RNAcentral lists this long non-coding RNA (1352 nucleotides) under Medicago truncatula (barrel medic). RNAcentral describes it as "long non-coding RNA (MTRU_LNC004658)". The record is from RNAcentral. Lineage: Eukaryota; Viridiplantae; Streptophyta; Magnoliopsida; Fabales; Fabaceae.
UUUAUACAAAACAGCUUAUUAUGACCUCUUUUCAGAAAAACAGCUUAUUCAAAACAGCUUAAUACAAUCUCUUAUUCAAAAACAACUUAUCCAAAAUAGUUUAUCUAUAUAAAACAGCUUAUUACGACCUCUUUUCAAAAAACAACUUGUUCAAAACAGCUUAUUUAUACAAAACAACUUAUUCAAAACAGCUUAAUACGAUCUCUUUUUCAAAAACAGCUUAUUCAAAACAGCUUAUUUAUACAAAAUAGCUUAUUACGACCUCAUUUUCAAAAACCGCUUAUUCAAAACAACUUAUUUAUACAAAACAGCUUAUUACGACAUCAUUUUCAAAAACAGCUUAUUCAAAACAGCUUAUUUAUACAAAACAGCUUAUUAUGACCUCAUUUUUAAAAAUCGCUUAUUCAAAACAACUUAUUUAUACAAAACAGCUUAAUAUGACCUCAUUUUCAAAAACAGCUUAUUCAAAACAACUUAUUAUGCAAAACAGCUUAAUACAAUCUCUUUUACUAAAACAGCUUAUUCAAAAUAGCUUAUUUAUAUAAAACAGCUUAUUACGACCUCAUUUUCAAAAACCGCUUAUUCAAAACAACUUAUUUAUACAAAACAGCUUAUUACGACCUCUUUUUCAAAAACAGCUUAUUUAUACAAAACAGCUUAAUAUGAUCUCUUUUUCAAAAACAGCUUAUUCAAAACAGCUUAUUUGUACAAAAUAGCUUAAUACGACAUCAUUUUCAAAAACCGCUUAUUCAAAACAACUUAUUUAUACAAAACAUCUUAAUAUGACUUCAUUUUACAAAAUAGCUUAUUCAAAACAACUUAUUUAUGCAAAACAGCUUAAUACGACCUCAUUUUCAAAAACGGCUUAUUCAAAACAGCUUAUUUAUGCAAAACAGCUUAAUACGAUCUCUUUUUCAAAAACAGCUUAUUUAUACAAAACAGCUUAUUACGACCUCAAUUUCAAAAAUCGCUUCUUUAAAACAAUUUAUUUAUACAAAACAGCUUAAUACGACAUCAUUUUCAAAAAUCGCUUAUUCGAAACAACUUAUUUAUACAAAACAGCUUAUUACGACCUCAUUUUCAAAAAUCGCUUAUUCAAAACAACUUAUUUAUACAAAACUGUUUAUAACGACCUCAUUUCAAAAACCUCUUAUUCAAAACAAUUUAUUUAUGCAAAACAACUUAUUAUGUCCUCUUUUCAAAAAAUAACUUAUUCAAAACAGCUUAUUUAUGCAAAACCGCUUAUUACGAUCUCUUUUUUAAAAACAACUUAUUCAAAAAAACUUAUUUAUGCAAAACAACUUAUUAUGAUCUCUUUUUCAAAAACAACUUAUUCAAAACAACUUAUUUAU